GACGAACGCUGGCGGCGUGCUUAACACAUGCAAGUCGAACGGAAAGGCCCUGCUUUUGUGGGGUGCUCGAGUGGCGAACGGGUGAGUAACACGUGAGUAACCUGCCCUUGACUUUGGGAUAACUUCAGGAAACUGGGUCUAAUACCGGAUAGGAGCUCCUGCUGCAUGGUGGGGGUUGGAAAGUUUCGGCGGUUGGGGAUGGACUCGCGGCUUAUCAGCUUGUUGGUGGGGUAGUGGCUUACCAAGGCUUUGACGGGUAGCCGGCCUGAGAGGGUGACCGGCCACAUUGGGACUGAGACACGGCCCAGACUCCUACGGGAGGCAGCAGUGGGGAAUAUUGCACAAUGGGCGGAAGCCUGAUGCAGCAACGCCGCGUGCGGGAUGACGGCCUUCGGGUUGUAAACCGCUUUCGCCUGUGACGAAGCGUGAGUGACGGUAAUGGGUAAAGAAGCACCGGCUAACUACGUG
Molecule: ribosomal RNA, 468 nt
Filed under: uncultured bacterium
Lineage: Bacteria
Description: partial 16S ribosomal RNA
Rfam family: Bacterial small subunit ribosomal RNA
Source: RNAcentral